RNAcentral lists this long non-coding RNA (681 nucleotides) under Oncorhynchus kisutch (coho salmon). RNAcentral's name for it is "lncRNA (ENSOKIG00005009371.1)". The record is from RNAcentral. Lineage: Eukaryota; Metazoa; Chordata; Actinopteri; Salmoniformes; Salmonidae.
GCUGAUGUCUGGAACGCCAUCUGAUUGGUGGCGCUUGUUACCAUGGUCCUGCGUAAAACAGAAGUUGUGAUUUAUUUACAGAGGCAAUUGCUUGCCUUUCCCACAUUUUCCUGCUAUCCUAAACAGCUUCAGACUGUUGCUGGCGACGGUAACGUUACUUUAUGGCUUUCUUCGGGAUAACGAAUUUGGGCUAUCAAAACCCCAUCGGAGACCAUAUGUUAUUGAGUCCGAGAUCGUCUGCUUCUCCUGGUGAUGAGGUGGAUUCAAGGAGCUGGGCUAAACAGUCAGGACUGCCCUCCAUCCAAGUCCAGAGGGGACCCCCACAAUGCACUGAUACCCCCUUCAGCCCAGACAUACACCAAGGUAGCCAGGGGCGAUACAAAGAGAUGCUCAAACGGGUUCAGAUACCAAGAUCCCCGAAUCAGCUGUACUCAGUGCCCCUGACAGACAGCCAGCAGUGUGGAUGGUGGAUGUCUAAUGGAGGCCAAGGAAAGAUGCAUGAACCCUGGACCCAAGUCAGACGAUUCCCCCGCAAGAACAGUGAGAUGACCAAGUUUGUGAAAGAGAUGUCAAUGACGGACCGAGAGUUCAGCUUAUUCUGAUUUCCACUCCUGCAGUAACAUACACACACACACACACACACACACAAUCCCAUCCAAAGACCUCUGGGACCUUUACACU